Molecule: ribosomal RNA, 468 nt
Filed under: uncultured bacterium
Lineage: Bacteria
Description: partial 16S ribosomal RNA
Rfam family: Bacterial small subunit ribosomal RNA
Source: RNAcentral
GACGAACGCUGGCGGCGUGCUUAACACAUGCAAGUCGAACGGAAAGGCCCUGCUUUUGUGGGGUGCUCGAGUGGCGAACGGGUGAGUAACACGUGAGUAACCUGCCCUUGACUUUGGGAUAACUUCAGGAAACUGGGGCCAAUACCGGAUAGGAGCUCCUGCUGCAUGGUGGGGGUUGGAAAGUUUCGGCGGUUGGGGAUGGACUCGCGGCUUAUCAGCUUGUUGGUGGGGUAAUGGCUUACCAAGGCUUUGACGGGUAGCCGGCCUGAGAGGGUGACCGGCCACAUUGGGACUGAGAUACGGCCCAGACUCCUACGGGAGGCAGCAGUGGGGAAUAUUGCACAAUGGGCGGAAGCCUGAUGCAGCAACGCCGCGUGCGGGAUGACGGCCUUCGGGUUGUAAACCGCUUUCGCCUGUGACGAAGCGUGAGUGACGGUAAUGGGUAAAGAAGCACCGGCUAACUACGUG